GAUGAACGCUAGCGGCAGGCCUAAUACAUGCAAGUCGAACGGUAAAUGUCCCUUCGGGGACGAUGAGAGUGGCGCACGGGUGCGUAACGCGUAUGCAACCUACCCAAUGCAGGCGGAUAGCCCGAAGAAAUUCGGAUUAACCCGUCAUGAGGAGCGGAGAGGGCAUCCUUUCUGUUUCAAAUAUUUAUAGGCGUUGGAUGGGCAUGCGUGCUAUUAGAUAGUUGGCGGGGUAACGGCCCACCAAGGCGACGAUCGGUAGCCGACCUGAGAGGGUGAUCGGCCACAUUGGAACUGAGAAACGGUCCAGACUCCUACGGGAGGCAGCAGUGGGGGAAUAUUGGGCAAUGGGCGAAAGCCUGCCCAGCAACGCCGCGUGA
RNAcentral lists this ribosomal RNA (377 nucleotides) under uncultured bacterium. RNAcentral's name for it is "bacterial SSU rRNA". It matches the Rfam family "Bacterial small subunit ribosomal RNA", at positions 28 to 404 of the family's 1533-position model. The record is from RNAcentral.